RNAcentral lists this unclassified non-coding RNA (227 nucleotides) under Spizellomyces lactosolyticus. RNAcentral's name for it is "partial internal transcribed spacer 2". Lineage: Eukaryota; Fungi; Chytridiomycota; Chytridiomycetes; Spizellomycetales; Spizellomycetaceae. The record is from RNAcentral.
AAAUCUCACAAACUGUUAUGUCAUUGCACUUAUAGUAUUGUGGAUUUGGAUGCUUUGCCUCAGGCAAUCACCAGAAAAAGAUUGUAUGUGCGCCAAUAGGACAAAAUUGGUUAUCAAAAGUGCAACAGAGGAAACUCCAUUCGCUUUUGGCAAUUUAUUUUGAUACUGAUGGAACAUGUGCUCCAACUAUCAACAAGUGUCAAACUAUUUUGGUUUGCUGCUUGAUA